This 419-nucleotide ribosomal RNA is filed under the name uncultured bacterium. RNAcentral's name for it is "bacterial SSU rRNA". It matches the Rfam family "Bacterial small subunit ribosomal RNA", at positions 958 to 1375 of the family's 1533-position model. The record is from RNAcentral.
AACGCGAAGAACCUUACCUGGUCUUGACAUCCACAGAACUUUCCAGAGAUGGAUUGGUGCCUUCGGGAACUGUGAGACAGGUGCUGCAUGGCUGUCGUCAGCUCGUGUUGUGAAAUGUUGGGUUAAGUCCCGCAACGAGCGCAACCCUUAUCCUUUGUUGCCAGCGGUCCGGCCGGGAACUCAAAGGAGACUGCCAGUGAUAAACUGGAGGAAGGUGGGGAUGACGUCAAGUCAUCAUGGCCCUUACGACCAGGGCUACACACGUGCUACAAUGGCAUAUACAAAGAGAAGCGACCUCGCGAGAGCAAGCGGACCUCAUAAAGUAUGUCGUAGUCCGGAUUGGAGUCUGCAACUCGACUCCAUGAAGUCGGAAUCGCUAGUAAUCGUAGAUCAGAAUGCUACGGUGGAAAUACGUUCCC